RNAcentral lists this ribosomal RNA (1514 nucleotides) under Patinella hyalophaea. RNAcentral describes it as "eukaryotic LSU rRNA". The stretch from base 604 to 1514 matches the Rfam family "Eukaryotic large subunit ribosomal RNA", at positions 1 to 933 of the family's 3401-position model. Lineage: Eukaryota; Fungi; Ascomycota; Leotiomycetes; Thelebolales; Holwayaceae. The record is from RNAcentral.
UAAGUGAGGCUUUCGGACCGGCUCAGGGAGGUCGGCAACGACCACCCAGAGCUGGAAAGUUGUCCAAACUUGGUCAUUUAGAGGAAGUAAAAGUCGUAACAAGGUUUCCGUAGGUGAACCUGCGGAAGGAUCAUUAAUGAGAACGUGCCCUUCGGGGUAGAUCUCCCACCCUUUGUAUAUUAUACCUUUGUUGCCUUGGCAGGCCCGUCUUCGGACCGCUGGCUUCGGCUGGCCCGUGCCUGUCAGAGGACCCCAAACUCUUUUGUUAAUAUUGUCUGAGUACUAUUUUAAUAGUUAAAACUUUCAACAACGGAUCUCUUGGUUCUGGCAUCGAUGAAGAACGCAGCGAAAUGCGAUAAGUAAUGUGAAUUGCAGAAUUCAGUGAAUCAUCGAAUCUUUGAACGCACAUUGCGCCCUCUGGUAUUCCGGGGGGCAUGCCUGUUCGAGCGUCAUUACAACCCUCAAGCUCAGCUUGGUAUUGGGCCUCGCCGUCUGGCGGGCCUUAAAAUCAGUGGCGGUGCCGUCUGGCUCCAAGCGUAGUAAUUUUUCUCUCGCUUUCGGAGGCCGGCGUGUGCUUGCCAACAACCCCCAAUUUUUUCAGGUUGACCUCGGAUCAGGUAGGGAUACCCGCUGAACUUAAGCAUAUCAAUAAGCGGAGGAAAAGAAACCAACAGGGAUUGCCUCAGUAACGGCGAGUGAAGCGGCAACAGCUCAAAUUUGAAAUCUGGCCGCAAGGUCCGAGUUGUAAUUUGUAGAGGAUGUUUCGGGUGUGGUCCAGUCUAAGUUCCUUGGAACAGGACGUCAUAGAGGGUGAGAAUCCCGUAUGUGACUGGGUGCCUAAUCCCAUGUGAAACUCCUUCAACGAGUCGAGUUGUUUGGGAAUGCAGCUCAAAAUGGGUGGUAAAUUUCAUCUAAAGCUAAAUAUUGGCCAGAGACCGAUAGCGCACAAGUAGAGUGAUCGAAAGAUGAAAAGCACUUUGGAAAGAGAGUUAAACAGUACGUGAAAUUGUUGAAAGGGAAGCGCUUGCAACCAGACUUGCACACAGCCGAUCAUCCGGUGUUCUCACCGGUGCACUCGGUUGCGUUCAGGCCAGCAUCGGUUUUGGUGGCGGGAUAAAGGCCCUAGGAAUGUGGCUCCUCUCGGGGAGUGUUAUAGCCUAGGGUGCAAUGCCGCCUACCGGGACCGAGGACCGCGCUUCGGCUAGGAUGCUGGCGUAAUGGUUGUAAGCGACCCGUCUUGAAACACGGACCAAGGAGUCUAACAUCUAUGCGAGUGUUUGGGUGUCAAACCCAUACGCGUAAUGAAAGUGAACGGAGGUGAGAACCCUUAAGGGUGCAUCAUCGACCGAUCCUGAUGUCUUCGGAUGGAUUUGAGUAAGAGCAUAGCUGUUGGGACCCGAAAGAUGGUGAACUAUGCCUGAAUAGGGUGAAGCCAGAGGAAACUCUGGUGGAGGCUCGCAGCGGUUCUGACGUGCAAAUCGAUCGUCAAAUUUGGGUAUAGGGGCGAAAGACUA